Molecule: ribosomal RNA, 359 nt
Filed under: uncultured Pseudomonas sp.
Lineage: Bacteria; Pseudomonadati; Pseudomonadota; Gammaproteobacteria; Pseudomonadales; Pseudomonadaceae
Description: bacterial SSU rRNA
Rfam family: Bacterial small subunit ribosomal RNA
Source: RNAcentral
CAAUAUACAAGGUGCUGCAUGGGGUUGUCGUCAGCUCGUGCCGUGAGGUGUCGGGUUAACGUCCCGUAACGAGCGCAACCCUUGUCCUUAGUUACCAGCACGUUAUGGUGGGCACUCUAAGGAGACUGCCGGUGACAAACCGGAGGAAGGUGGGGAUGACGUCAAGUCAUCAUGGCCCUUACGGCCUGGGCUACACACGUGCUACAAUGGUCGGUACAAAGGGUUGCCAAGCCGCGAGGUGGAGCUAAUCCCAUAAAACCGAUCGUAGUCCGGAUCGCAGUCUGCAACUCGACUGCGUGAAGUCGGAAUCGCUAGUAAUCGUGAAUCAGAAUGUCACGGUGAAUACGUUCCCGGGCCUU